RNAcentral lists this ribosomal RNA (348 nucleotides) under uncultured bacterium. Its description in RNAcentral is "partial 16S ribosomal RNA". It matches the Rfam family "Bacterial small subunit ribosomal RNA", at positions 338 to 683 of the family's 1533-position model. The record is from RNAcentral.
CCUACGGGUGGCAGCAGUGAUGAAUAUUGGUCAAUGGGCUGACGCCUGAACCCGCCAAGUAGCGUGCAGGAUGACGGCCCUACGGGUUGUAAACUUCUUUUAUCCGGUAAUAACUCGCCUUACGUGUAGCGCUUUGCAUGUCCCUUAUGCAUAAGGACCGGCUAAUUCCGUGCCCGCAGCCGCGGUAAUACGGAAGGUCCGUGCGUUAUACGGAUUUAUUGGGGUUAAAGGGAGCUGAGGACGCAUGUCAAGUGUGCUGGUAAAUGUUCGGGAUCAACCCGGGCCUUGAAGAGCGAACUGGCGUGCUUGAGUCCGCGGAAAGCAGGCGGAAUUCGUCGUGUAGCGGUG